Macaca nemestrina (pig-tailed macaque) is the source of this 525-nucleotide long non-coding RNA. The record is from Ensembl. NCBI's taxonomy places the organism in Eukaryota, Metazoa, Chordata, Mammalia, Primates, Cercopithecidae.
AUUUCUCAAAUUUUCAAACUGCUGCAAAGUUAUUUUUUACAACUUGCAUUUUGCUACUUUUGGUAAAUAUUAAAAUCUGACAUUACCUUUCAGUAUUAAUGCUUGAGUUAGUAUGUUCUAAACCGGGAGAAAAAUAAUUCAAUAGACAUACUAUAUUUCUAGAAAUUGUGCAAGCUCAAAACCCUCUAUUCCCUGACUUAAAAACAUUGUCCAAUCUUUAUUUGUAGGGCUGGAGUUCUUCCAUGACUCAUUGCAGGGUGAGUCGCCGCAGCAGGUGUGGUUCAAGGGAGCAGAAUGAGUCAGAUGUGGGAAAACAAGAUCAGUACAAGGGAGUAAUGUCUAACACCAGUUGUGAAAGGUUUUAAGGCAGAAAGGCUUAUCUGUUGAUGGCAUGUGAAGAGCUUCAAAUCCGUGUCGGCAGUCACUCUGGGCAAUUACAGUAUUUGAGAAACAGAAUUUGGAAACCAGCUAACACCUGGAGGUUGAUGCUUUGUUUACAGCCAUGGCAGGUAAAUUUAAUUUCUU